ACGGCUAUAUCACAUUGAAACACUGGUUCUCCGUACGAUCACCAAAGUUAAGCAACGUCGAGACUGGUCAGUACCUAGAUGAAUGACUGCUUGGGAAGAUCAGAUGC
Molecule: non-coding RNA, 107 nt
Organism: Acanthosepion pharaonis
Lineage: Eukaryota; Metazoa; Mollusca; Cephalopoda; Sepiida; Sepiidae
Source: the annotation of a GenBank genome assembly